This is a long non-coding RNA of Scleropages formosus (Asian bonytongue), 752 nucleotides long. RefSeq lists it as uncharacterized. The record is from RefSeq and is a predicted model, not a curated record. NCBI's taxonomy places the organism in Eukaryota, Metazoa, Chordata, Actinopteri, Osteoglossiformes, Osteoglossidae. The transcript has 4 exons.
GCUCCCUGGAGGAUCUUUUGAGUUUUCCUAAAGAUAAAUUGACUUGUUCAUGGAACUGUACACUACAUCUUUCUUUAUACAGCGUAGAGGUCCUUCAGGACAAGAUCAGGAAUACCAUGUACAGCAGUCAGAAAGAGGUGAAAUUCAUCACUCAGGUUCCGAAGGAAUGUCUUAAAGCGUCGAAUGGCUCAACUGAACUUCAGAAGACACCAGUUCUUGCAUUUUCAAGCAGAACAAACAAUAGGAAGCCUGUGAAAUACUUAGGGAAAUGCUUUUUUUGAAGUUCUCAGACUGCUACUGAGAUUUUUAGGAGGAUUUUGCAACAGAUUCAUCAUGGUCUGGAAAAGUCAAAACAAAUAUCAGAGAAUGAGUUGGCAUCAACUCCCGGGUUGUAAGAGAUACUUGCACUUUAAGGCUUGGCAGUAGUGGAUAAUGACUUUUUCCUCAGACUUGGUGCCAUUUCUAAAAUGUCAUCGUUCAUAUUGCAGAUCCAGAAAUUAUUCUGCAGUAUAACGGACACGCUUAGUCCAUUCUGUUGUUUUACUGUACAGCACUUUAUGUCCACUGGCUUUCAUUGUUACAUGUAUUUGUGUGCAAUACAACUUUAUUUAUCUAAACGCCUUUAUCUGCACAAGCAUGUGUAUCAGCUUCAGACUGAUAUUUGUGCCUAAAUUUCAUAACAUAAUAGUUACAGCUAUGAGUGUUGACCUGGAUGUAUUUUAUUUCCCUUGAAAAAAAAAUUUAUAAGAUGU